AAGACACUAGUAAAAAAUAUUACCCUGCCUUGUCAAGGCAGCAUUGUAGGUUAAAAUCCUACGUGUCUUG
RNAcentral lists this transfer RNA (70 nucleotides) under Chelmon rostratus (copperband butterflyfish). Its description in RNAcentral is "tRNA-Asp". It matches the Rfam family "tRNA". Rfam says of the family: Transfer RNA (tRNA) molecules are approximately 80 nucleotides in length. Their secondary structure includes four short double-helical elements and three loops (D, anti-codon, and T loops). Further hydrogen bonds mediate the characteristic L-shaped molecular structure. tRNAs have two regions of fundamental functional importance: the anti-codon, which is responsible for specific mRNA codon recognition, and the 3' end, to which the tRNAs corresponding amino acid is attached (by aminoacyl-tRNA synthetases). tRNAs cope with the degeneracy of the genetic code in two manners: having more than one tRNA (with a specific anti-codon) for a particular amino acid; and 'wobble' base-pairing, i.e. permitting non-standard base-pairing at the 3rd anti-codon position. Lineage: Eukaryota; Metazoa; Chordata; Actinopteri; Chaetodontiformes; Chaetodontidae. RNAcentral also lists the same sequence under 1 other name. The record is from RNAcentral.